AGGACAAAAUUGUGUUCCAAAAAAAUGAUAUCAUAUCCCCCUCCUCUAGGAAAUUGUAUAAACUUUUCUGUUUUGAAUAAUGAUAAUACUGAAUUAAACUAUGUUUCUUUACGCUUAUAAACUUGUAAGCGGGACGGUAUUUAGGAGGAAGAGUUAUGGAAGCAGUUACCUCGAGCGGACAAAUUUUGACACAUUUAAGGGGAGGCCAGCGCCGCUAGAAUUUAAGUUAGAAAAAGAGU
Non-coding RNA from Cinara cedri, 239 nucleotides. Lineage: Eukaryota; Metazoa; Arthropoda; Insecta; Hemiptera; Aphididae. The record is from the annotation of a GenBank genome assembly.